ACGUGUCAGCGGUCGCUUCCACACUGAGCGAAUUAGUGCGCUGGUCCCGCGGAUGCUGAUGGGUGUCACGUGUUACGCAAUGUUUUCUGUCCUGCAAACCAACGAGCACGUUGCACCGCUGAAGCGACUUUUUUUAAAAUAUUCCUGGCCCAGCAUGGCGCCUUGUUCUGGGUUUCUAUCUAGAGAAGUGGACCUCUUCAGGGCCUAGCCCAGCAGGAUUGGAUCAGUUCUGGAACUGGCAGCCCAUCCGUGUAAAUGAUGUCAUCAAAGAGGGAUUUGUGGAGUUCUGAAUGGGAUGGAGAGAAGAGAGAGAACUGUCAGUUGCAGCUGGAUGAUGGUUCAGACAGUUCCUGAUUUCCGAGACAGGGGAGGGACUGGAAAUGGAAGAUUGCAGAAGUAAAGGUGUUCUUCCAGGUGUUGCACGAGGAACUAGAGCUUCCCUCAUUAAGAAUCCCCCUGCUGUGAUUCACGAAGCCGCUCUCACCUUGUACACAACGCAGAGCCCUACCUGUCGAAACACCUUCAUCCAGUUUGCACUGUCACAGGAACCAUUCCAUGACCUUUGGACCUCGAGCUGUUUUAAUAGGAACUUGUUUUCUUUUGGUUCACUGUGCUAAAAUGCAUACUUUUUUUUUUUUUUUUUUUUU
Long non-coding RNA from Acipenser ruthenus (sterlet), 647 nucleotides. RefSeq lists it as uncharacterized. NCBI's taxonomy places the organism in Eukaryota, Metazoa, Chordata, Actinopteri, Acipenseriformes, Acipenseridae. The record is from RefSeq and is a predicted model, not a curated record. The transcript is spliced from 4 exons.